This 245-nucleotide ribosomal RNA is filed under the name uncultured bacterium. RNAcentral describes it as "partial 16S ribosomal RNA". It matches the Rfam family "Bacterial small subunit ribosomal RNA", at positions 524 to 768 of the family's 1533-position model. The record is from RNAcentral.
GACAGAGGUGGCAAGCGUUGUUCGGAAUUACUGGGCUUAAAGGGCGAGUAGGCGGUGAGACAAGUCUGAGGUGGAAUCCUAUGGCUUAACCAUAGAAUUGCCUUGGAAACUGUCUUACUUGAGUCAGUGAGGGGAGGGCGGAAUUCCCGGUGUAGCGGUGAAAUGCGUAGAUAUCGGGAGGAAGGCCGGUGGCGAAGGCGGCCCUCUGGCGCUGAACUGACGCUGAGGCGCGAAAGCGUGGGGAG